Fragaria vesca subsp. vesca is the source of this 460-nucleotide RNA transcript. It is a transcript of the gene named ribosomal protein S14, mitochondrial-like, with no coding region annotated. The record is from RefSeq and is a predicted model, not a curated record. NCBI's taxonomy places the organism in Eukaryota, Viridiplantae, Streptophyta, Magnoliopsida, Rosales, Rosaceae. The transcript has 2 exons.
AUGUCGGUAUGCAGAGAAAACGCGAACAUCAGAGACAACCACCGGCGAUUACUGGCGGAGAAAUUCGAGCUGCGGCGGAACCUGUACAAGGCGCUGUGCAAAGACACGAGCCUCCCCGACGAUUUACGCGAGGAGAAUCGCUACAAGCUCUCGAAGCUUCCUCGGAACAGCUCCUUCACCCGAAUCCGGAACCGGUGCAUCUUCUCCGGCCGAGGCCGCGCCGUCUACGAGACCUUCCGCAUGUCCCGUCUCUUCUCCCGCCUCCAAGGGCAUGCUCAACGGCGUCAAGAAAGCCUCCUGGUAGCCAAACGGGCUUUAAAUCAGCUAUGGAAAUCUGUGCUUUGAUUUGUUCCAAUGGAAGUUGAAGCAUGAGUAAGGGAACACUGGGAUAUAAUUGCAGUUUUGCAGCAGUUAGUAUUUGGAGGUCUCUCCUUUCUGAUAUGCGAAAGUUCUGCUUGUA